UGGGGAAUCUUGCGCAAUGGGCGAAAGCCUGACGCAGCGACGCCGCGUGCGGGAGGAAGCUCUUCGGGGUGUAAACCGCUGUCAGGGGGGAAGAACGGCUUCGGGAGGCAAUGCCCGGCGAUUGACGGUACCCCCAGAGGAAGCACCGGCUAACUCCGUGCCAGCAGCCGCGGUAAUACAGAGGGUGCGAGCGUUGUUCGGAAUUACUGGGCGUAAAGCGCGCGCAGGCGGCGUUCUAAGUCUGACGGUCAAAUGCCGGGGCUCAACCCCGCGCGUGCCGCGGAUACUGGGAGGCUGGAGACAGGUAGAGGCAAGCGGAAUUCCGGGUGUAGCGGUGGAAUGCGUAGAGAUCCGGAAGAACACCGGAGGCGAAGGCGGCUUGCUGGGCCUGGUCUGACGCUGAGGCGCGAAAGCGUGGGGAGCGAAC
This 427-nucleotide ribosomal RNA is filed under the name uncultured bacterium. Its description in RNAcentral is "bacterial SSU rRNA". It matches the Rfam family "Bacterial small subunit ribosomal RNA", at positions 355 to 773 of the family's 1533-position model. The record is from RNAcentral.